RNAcentral lists this ribosomal RNA (1343 nucleotides) under uncultured bacterium. RNAcentral describes it as "16S ribosomal RNA". It matches the Rfam family "Bacterial small subunit ribosomal RNA", at positions 28 to 1378 of the family's 1533-position model. The record is from RNAcentral.
GACGAACGCUGGCGGCGUGCUUAACACAUGCAAGUCGAACGGAAAGGCCCUGCUUUUGUGGGGUGCUCGAGUGGCGAACGGGUGAGUAACACGUGAGUAACCUGCCCUUGACUUUGGGAUAACUUCAGGAAACUGGGGCUAAUACCGGAUAGGAGCUCCUGCUGCAUGGUGGGGGUUGGAAAGUUUCGGCGGUUGGGGAUGGACUCGCGGCUUAUCAGCUUGUUGGUGGGGUAGUGGCUUACCAAGGCUUUGACGGGUAGCCGGCCUGAGAGGGUGACCGGCCACAUUGGGACUGAGAUACGGCCCAGACUCCUACGGGAGGCAGCAGUGGGGAAUAUUGCACAAUGGGCGGAAGCCUGAUGCAGCAACGCCGCGUGCGGGAUGACGGCCUUCGGGUUGUAAACCGCUUUCGCCUGUGACGAAGCGUGAGUGACGGUAAUGGGUAAAGAAGCACCGGCUAACUACGUGCCAGCAGCCGCGGUGAUACGUAGGGUGCGAGCGUUGUCCGGAUUUAUUGGGCGUAAAGGGCUCGUAGGUGGUUGAUCGCGUCGGAAGUGUAAUCUUGGGGCUUAACCCUGAGCGUGCUUUCGAUACGGGUUGACUUGAGGAAGGUAGGGGAGAAUGGAAUUCCUGGUGGAGCAGUGGAAUGCGCAGAUAUCAGGAGGAACACCAGUGGCGAAGGCGGUUCUCUGGGCCUUUCCUGACGCUGAGGAGCGAAAGCGUGGGGAGCGAACAGGCUUAGAUACCCUGGUAGUCCACGCUGUAAACGGUGGGUACUAGGUGUGGGGUCCAUUCCACGGGUUCCGUGCCGUAGCUAACGCUUUAAGUACCCCGCCUGGGGAGUACGGCCGCAAGGCUAAAACUCAAAGGAAUUGACGGGGCCCCGCACAAGCGGCGGAGCAUGCGGAUUAAUUCGAUGCAACGCGUAGAACCUUACCUGGGUUUGACAUGGAUCGGGAGUGCCCAGAGAUGGGUGUGCCUCUUUUGGGGUCGGUUCACAGGUGGUGCAUGGCUGUCGUCAGCUCGUGUCGUGAGAUGUUGGGUUAAGUCCCGCAACGAGCGCAACCCUUGUUCACUGUUGCCAGCACGUUAUGGUGGGGACUCAGUGGAGACCGCCGGGGUCAACUCGGAGGAAGGUGGGGAUGACGUCAAGUCAUCAUGCCCCUUAUGUCCAGGGCUUCACGCAUGCUACAAUGGCUGGUACAGAGAGUGGCGAGCCUGUGAGGGUGAGCGAAUCUCGGAAAGCCGGUCUCAGUUCGGAUUGGGGUCUGCAACUCGACCUCAUGAAGUCGGAGUCGCUAGUAAUCGCAGAUCAGCAACGCUGCGGUGAAUACGUUCCCGGG